RNAcentral lists this ribosomal RNA (930 nucleotides) under Massilia niabensis. RNAcentral's name for it is "bacterial SSU rRNA". It matches the Rfam family "Bacterial small subunit ribosomal RNA", at positions 55 to 981 of the family's 1533-position model. The record is from RNAcentral. Lineage: Bacteria; Pseudomonadati; Pseudomonadota; Betaproteobacteria; Burkholderiales; Oxalobacteraceae.
AUGCAAGUCGAACGGCAGCACGGGCUUCGGCCUGGUGGCGAGUGGCGAACGGGUGAGUAAUAUAUCGGAACGUACCCAAGAGUGGGGGAUAACGUAGCGAAAGUUACGCUAAUACCGCAUACGAUCUACGGAUGAAAGCAGGGGACCGCAAGGCCUUGUGCUCCUGGAGCGGCCGAUAUCUGAUUAGCUAGUUGGUGAGGUAAAGGCCCACCAAGGCGACGAUCAGUAGCUGGUCUGAGAGGACGACCAGCCACACUGGAACUGAGACACGGUCCAGACUCCUACGGGAGGCAGCAGUGGGGAAUUUUGGACAAUGGGCGCAAGCCUGAUCCAGCAAUGCCGCGUGAGUGAAGAAGGCCUUCGGGUUGUAAAGCUCUUUUGUCAGGGAAGAAACGGUAGAGGCUAAUAUCCUUUGCUAAUGACGGUACCUGAAGAAUAAGCACCGGCUAACUACGUGCCAGCAGCCGCGGUAAUACGUAGGGUGCAAGCGUUAAUCGGAAUUACUGGGCGUAAAGCGUGCGCAGGCGGUUUUGUAAGUCUGUCGUGAAAGCCCCGGGCUCAACCUGGGAAUUGCGAUGGAGACUGCAAGGCUUGAAUCUGGCAGAGGGGGGUAGAAUUCCACGUGUAGCAGUGAAAUGCGUAGAGAUGUGGAGGAACACCGAUGGCGAAGGCAGCCCCCUGGGUCAAGAUUGACGCUCAUGCACGAAAGCGUGGGGAGCAAACAGGAUUAGAUACCCUGGUAGUCCACGCCCUAAACGAUGUCUACUAGUUGUCGGGUUUUAAUUAACUUGGUAACGCAGCUAACGCGUGAAGUAGACCGCCUGGGGAGUACGGUCGCAAGAUUAAAACUCAAAGGAAUUGACGGGGACCCGCACAAGCGGUGGAUGAUGUGGAUUAAUUCGAUGCAACGCGAAAAACCUUACCUACCCU